CUCUCCGUUUGCCGAUGCUAGUAAGAUACAUACCGAAACAUGGGUAUAAACAAAUAUAAAUAUGACAAAUAUCUUUGCGCAACAAUGUUUCCCAGUUUGUCCCGGGCUUUAAGGGAUAUUUAUAUAAACUCCUAGGAAAACCUCUGAUUGAAUCAUUAAUCCAUCGCUUUUAAAAGUAUAUUCUAUAGAUACCAAUCUUGGAUUUGGACCAACUUUUCCAUUCGUUCCAACCAUCUUUUCCAACCGACGAAACCGGACUGCACAAGUGAUGGACGUUUAACUCUGAAAGAAACAUCUCCCAGGCACCAACUCGAAAUUCGUC
Paramuricea clavata is the source of this 322-nucleotide non-coding RNA. NCBI's taxonomy places the organism in Eukaryota, Metazoa, Cnidaria, Anthozoa, Malacalcyonacea, Plexauridae. The record is from the annotation of a GenBank genome assembly.